Molecule: ribosomal RNA, 235 nt
Filed under: uncultured bacterium
Lineage: Bacteria
Description: partial 16S ribosomal RNA
Rfam family: Bacterial small subunit ribosomal RNA
Source: RNAcentral
CGGCGGACGGGUGAGUAAUGUCUGGGAAACUGCCCGAUGGAGGGGGAUAACUACUGGAAACGGUAGCUAAUACCGCAUAACGUCGCAAGACCAAAGAGGGGGACCUUCGGGCCUCUUGCCAUCGGAUGUGCCCAGAUGGGAUUAGCUAGUAGGUGGGGUAACGGCUUACCUAGGCGACGAUCCCUAGCUGGUCUGAGAGGAUGACCAGCCACACUGGAACUGAGACACGGUCCAG